This 406-nucleotide ribosomal RNA is filed under the name uncultured bacterium. Its description in RNAcentral is "partial 16S ribosomal RNA". It matches the Rfam family "Bacterial small subunit ribosomal RNA", at positions 29 to 526 of the family's 1533-position model. The record is from RNAcentral.
AUUGAACGCUGGCGGCAGGCCUAACACAUGCAAGUCGAGCGAGCGGCGGACGGGUGAGUAAUGUCUGGGAAACUGCCUGAUGGAGGGGGAUAACUACUGGAAACGGUAGCUAAUACCGCAUACCAUCAGAUGUGCCCAGGGGGGAUUUGCUGUUAGGUGGGGUAACGGCCCACAAGGGCGACGAACCCUAGCUGGUCUGAGAGGGUGACCAGCCACACUGGAACUGAGACACGGUCCAGACUCCUACGGGAGGCAGAAGUGGGGAAUAUUGCACAAUGGGCGCAAGCCUGAUGCAGCCAUGCCGCGUGUGUGAAGAAGGCCUUCGGGUUGUAAAGCAAUUUCAGCGGGGAGGCGUUACCCGCAGAAGAAGCACCGGCUAACUCCGUGCCAGCAGCCGCGGUAAUAC